AUUGAACGCUGGCGGCAGGCCUAACACAUGCAAGUCGAGCGGAUGAAGGGAGCUUGCUCCUGGAUUCAGCGGCGGACGGGUGAGUAAUGCCUAGGAAUCUGCCUGGUAGUGGUGGAUAACGUCCGGAAACGGGCGCUAAUACCGCCUACGUCCUGAGGGAGAAAGUGGGGGAUCUUCGGACCUCACGCUAUCAGAUGAGCCUAGGUCGGAUUAGCUAGUUGGUGGGGUAAAGGCCUACCAAGGCGACGAUCCGUAACUGGUCUGAGAGGAUGAUCAGUCACCCUAGAGCUGAGACAGGGACCAGGCUCCUAAGGGAGGCAGCAGAGGGGAAUGUUGGGCAAUAGGCGAAAGCAUGGUCCAGCGAUGCCGAGUGUGUGGAGGAGAUGUUCGGAGUGUAAAGCACUUUAAGGUGGGAGGAACGGCAGUAAGUUAAUACCUUGCUGGAGUGACGUUACCAACAGAAUAAGCACCGGCUAACUUCGUG
Molecule: ribosomal RNA, 484 nt
Filed under: uncultured bacterium
Lineage: Bacteria
Description: partial 16S ribosomal RNA
Rfam family: Bacterial small subunit ribosomal RNA
Source: RNAcentral